AUGGUCCUGAAUCAAGGCUGGUGGCUUGUUGUAGCCAUGGGUUUCAAACAGGAGCCUAUAGAACCUCUCCCUGUGGUCUGUUAGCUGUGCUAUUACACUUAUAGGCCCAGCUAAUUCAGUUGGGAGAAACAAUU
Molecule: small nucleolar RNA, 134 nt
Organism: Pseudophryne corroboree (corroboree frog)
Lineage: Eukaryota; Metazoa; Chordata; Amphibia; Anura; Myobatrachidae
Source: RefSeq, a predicted model, not a curated record